CGGCGCUGCCUCCGCAUCUGGCGACGUCGUUCUCACUGACACCGGCGUUAAGUUUGAUCGGAAGUUAAUAUUCGACACCGAGUCAUGCCUAAAGUGAAAACAAACCGUGUCAAAUAUCCAGAGGGAUGGGAGUUGAUUGAACCUACUCUUAGUGAACUCCAAGCAAAAAUGAGGGAAGCUGAGAAUGAUCCUCAUGAUGGCAAAAGAAAAUGCGAGGCUUUGUGG
This 225-nucleotide unclassified non-coding RNA is filed under the name Hevea brasiliensis (rubber tree). The record is from RNAcentral. Lineage: Eukaryota; Viridiplantae; Streptophyta; Magnoliopsida; Malpighiales; Euphorbiaceae.